GUGGUGUAAGUAGUCCUUUGACCUACGGUGACAUUGGCUAUUCGCAAUAAGGCUACUGAAUUUGACUGCACGUUCUCUUGGUCCCUAGCCAUUCGGAUCUUUGUUGUGUAUAUUGGCUUCAGUAGGUUCAGAUUCGCUGUUUGGAGUAGGAUGCACCUAAAUAGAAUCUAUCGAUCUUGAUAGAAAAAGAGAAGUCCUAUAUGAUUUAUGAGAUUGAGUUCAGAAAGUCUUUAGCCAAAGCGAGUGUGAAUACUGGAAAAGAGUUUCUACGAGAUUCACAAAUAAACUCGAGUCGAGCCAAUCUAACAUAUGACUGA
Molecule: long non-coding RNA, 317 nt
Filed under: Elaeis guineensis (African oil palm)
Lineage: Eukaryota; Viridiplantae; Streptophyta; Magnoliopsida; Arecales; Arecaceae
Description: long non-coding RNA (EGUI_LNC061794)
Source: RNAcentral